CGACCGUGAACUUUCAAUUCCGGCCAUCUCGGGUGUCCCACGGAUCCGGCGACAUCUGAUCAUCGGCGGCCACAACCACACAGCCCAAGUCAGCUUCUUCCUCUUUUUCUUUCUCUCUCUAAUACAUUUACUUAUUUAACUAGGUUGUAAUUGGUUUUGGGUAUGGCCGGAAAGCGUCGGCCAUCAGGGGCCACCUGCGGCAAGGAGCGAGGCCACCAGCAGCACUGCAUCGACCAAAUCUCGGAAAGAACGCAGCAGUCUGAGAGCACAAAUAAAGCAGGAGAACAAGGAAACACUUCUCAAGGCUUCUAUUCUUACGCAUUUUUGUAAAUGUACACAUAUAUUUUUCUCUAUUGUUGGUUUAGCAUUUAAUUGGCCGAGCAGAGAAGGCUUUGAUGCCUCCUGCAGAUGGGGCAGAGGUUGUCGACUUUAUCUCUGAUCACUAUGAUUACUGAUAUUAGUUGUAUCUUUUACAUAUGCCGAAAUAAAAUAGAUUUGAGUUUAA
Nymphaea colorata (pocket water lily) is the source of this 505-nucleotide long non-coding RNA. RefSeq lists it as uncharacterized. NCBI's taxonomy places the organism in Eukaryota, Viridiplantae, Streptophyta, Magnoliopsida, Nymphaeales, Nymphaeaceae. The transcript is spliced from 2 exons. The record is from RefSeq and is a predicted model, not a curated record.